RNAcentral lists this ribosomal RNA (253 nucleotides) under uncultured bacterium. Its description in RNAcentral is "partial 16S ribosomal RNA". It matches the Rfam family "Bacterial small subunit ribosomal RNA", at positions 524 to 776 of the family's 1533-position model. The record is from RNAcentral.
UACGUAGGUGGCAAGCGUUGUCCGGAUUUACUGGGCGUAAAGGAUGCGUAGGCGGAUAUUUAAGUCAGAUGUGAAAUUCCCGGGCUCAACCUGGGAGCUGCAUUUGAAACUGGGUAUCUAGAGUGCGGGAGAGGAGAGUGGAAUUCCUAGUGUAGCGGUGAAAUGCGUAGAGAUUAGGAAGAACACCAGUGGCGAAGGCGACUCUCUGGACCGUAACUGACGCUGAGGAACGAAAGCGUGGGUAGCGAACAGG